This 84-nucleotide transfer RNA is filed under the name Treponema sp. Its description in RNAcentral is "tRNA-Leu". It matches the Rfam family "tRNA". From Rfam's summary of the family: Transfer RNA (tRNA) molecules are approximately 80 nucleotides in length. Lineage: Bacteria; Pseudomonadati; Spirochaetota; Spirochaetia; Treponematales; Treponemataceae. The record is from RNAcentral. RNAcentral also lists the same sequence under 1 other name.
GCCCGGAUGGCGGAAUUGGCAGACGCGCUAGGUUCAGGUCCUAGUGUUCGCAAGGACAUAGGGGUUCAAGUCCCCUUUCGGGCA